This 459-nucleotide ribosomal RNA is filed under the name uncultured bacterium. RNAcentral describes it as "partial 16S ribosomal RNA". It matches the Rfam family "Bacterial small subunit ribosomal RNA", at positions 338 to 795 of the family's 1533-position model. The record is from RNAcentral.
CCUACGGGAGGCAGCAGUGAGGAAUAUUGGUCAAUGGCCGGAAGGCUGAACCAGCCAAGUCGCGUGAGGGACGACUGCCCUCUGGGUUGUAAACCUCUUUUAUAAGGGAAGAAUAAAUGCUACGUGUAGCAUGAUGCCUGUACCUUAUGAAUAAGCAUCGGCUAACUCCGUGCCAGCAGCAGCGGUAAUACGGAGGAUGCGAGCGUUAUCCGGAUUUCUUGGGUUUAAAGGGUGCGUAGGCGGUUUUGUAAGUUAGUGGUUAUACGUCGGGGCUUCACCUUGAUUUGCCAUUAAUACUGUAAGACUCGAGUUCAGACGAGGGAUGCGGAAUAAGUUAAGUAGCGGUGAAAUGCUUAGAUAUAACUUAGAACUCCGAUAGCGAAGGCAGCUUACCAGACUGCGACUGACGCUGAAGCACGAGAGCGUGGGUAGCGAACAGGAUUAGAUACCCUUGUAGUC